AUGGGAGGCAGGAUUUCGGCUAGUUGUUGGAUGAAGUCGUUGUUGUUUAGGAACAAGAUGUCUAGGUCUUGUUUUGUGAAAAGUUGAGGUGGGAUGGAACCGGUAAAGGAGUUGAAUCGGAUAUCGAGAAAUGACAAGGUGCGCAUCCCGAGUAUGGCGAUGGGAAACGUACCGGUGAAUAAGUUGUUGCUUAGGUCUAUUUCGUAGAGGUACGGAAGUUUAGCAAUAUUUGGUGAAAUGGUGCCCGAGAAGAAGUUUGAGUUGGCGUGAAAGAGGGCGAGGUCGGGUAACAGGUCGAGGAAACCAUCGAGAGUUGGAGCCUUAAGAUGGAAUCCAUUGAAGUCUAUGGAGGCAAGGGCGGUGGCGGUUUUGUUGUCAGGCGGGUUGUCACAGUAAAACCCUUUGUAAUUGCAUAUAUCUGACCCCACCCAAGAUCCAGUGAUAUUUUGGGGGUCAGAUGUUAUACUUUUCUUGAAAGUUUGUAUCAACGGAUAUACUACGGCUAGCCGUUGGUCGACAAAAGUUAGCUUGUUUCUGAUUGCUUCAACAGCGUUUCCAUCUACGAUUGAUGUUAAUUCUCCAAGAAUUUUGCUAGGAUGGAAAACCGCGACAAUAACGAUGAGUUUGAAAAUGAAAAUGAUGAUCAUUUGCAUAUUGUCUUAGAGUUUUCUUUGAUCUCAAAUGCAAGAAUGAGAGAAAUGUAUAUAGAAAUUGAUCAAUAUAGCCACUAAAUACUAAUGUUUUAAGGUUCAUAGUCGUCUAGUUUAUGAGGAAAUUUUGAUUGGUUGGUGUUGUUUGUCUUCCACUUUGAAAAGAGAAGAGCAGAAGAAAAAAGUGAUGGU
This 842-nucleotide long non-coding RNA is filed under the name Helianthus annuus (common sunflower). Its description in RNAcentral is "hypothetical non coding rna". Lineage: Eukaryota; Viridiplantae; Streptophyta; Magnoliopsida; Asterales; Asteraceae. The record is from RNAcentral.